This is a long non-coding RNA of Brachypodium distachyon (stiff brome), 449 nucleotides long. RefSeq lists it as uncharacterized. The transcript is spliced from 2 exons. The record is from RefSeq and is a predicted model, not a curated record. Lineage: Eukaryota; Viridiplantae; Streptophyta; Magnoliopsida; Poales; Poaceae.
CUCGUCGCUGGAUCCGGCAACCAAAUCGCCGCUGCACACCGCAGGGACGUUCUCCCGGCUCUCUGCUCUCCCUUGCCCCUCUGUUCUCUCCCUCACUCUCUCUCUCUCUCUCACAGAUGGUGGCCACCAACCGCCGGUGGAGAGGAGGAGCUCGUCGUCGGUGAACUCGCGGGUGGAGAGGAGGAAAUCGUCGUCGGUAAACUCGCGAGUUAAGUCGCCGAGGGCGCCGCCGCCGAGGAGACGAAGCCCUCGGGUUCCCGCUGCCGCUGUGGAGAUGAGCCGCCAAAGCCACGGGUUCUAGUGAUUUGCUGAUUUAGAUUGUAUUGUGAUUUGUUGUUUUAGAUUGUACUGUGAUUGUACGCAGCCGGAUUUGUUGUUUCAUUAGAUUAAUUUGUUUGGUUUGUGAUUAUUGAAUAGAAGAUGCGGGCUUAUGGCCUGCUUUUUGUUUU